UUAUGUAAUUAGUGGAAUCGUUUACAAUGUGAGUUUAAUAGAAGCUAGCACAUUUGUACCUCGUUUUGCUCUUUCUUUUUUCUUAUUUAACAAUUAACAACCUUAUCUACUAUACUCAAUGAAAUUUUAAUUGUAAUUAGAAACUCUAUAAUUUCAAAAGUGAACCUAUAAAAAGUACAAAAGCCACCAUUAGUGGUGUAAAUUGAAUAACUCUUGAAGGUUGAUUACUAGUUGAGCUUCCUACCGCCAAACUAGCUAACCAAGAUCCAUCCGCUAGCAUGGUCUGACCCAUCGCCCCUGACCCUGAUCCUGACCCUGAUUCAGAGCCAGGUAAUGAUUCAGGAUCUGACCCUGAUUCAGAACCUGACUCAGGUGUCGAUCCAUCCGCUUUUGAAGAUUUUUUGCUGGUUUGAGAGGAUGGACAAAAUGUGAUGAUGUAAUUGGCAUUAGAACAUGUGAAUGUACUUGUCGCAUCGUCAUAUGCAUAGCUGUAAGAUUUUGGACACGCUAACUUGAACAUCUGCGAGUAAACCGACGGCGAGCACGUCGCCGGUGAAGCAUAAGCGCCUUCACAACAGUACUGUGGAGUCUUAAAAGCAUCACACGCGCUCCUACAAGCGCCACCACCGUCCGCCCUUAGCUCCGUCGGGCAUUUUUGGUUCAAGUCGACGUUGCAACCCGUGGAUGCGCAAGGACCCGACCCGCCACUCACCUCCACCAUCAUAGGCAAAUUGUACCCGUCCACUAGGCUCACGUCAUAGAAAUCCUGCGAACCUGAGCCGAGUGUAAACUCUGCUAGUGUCGCCGGAGUUGCAGCUCCUCCGCCGUUGCACUCCAUCUGUCCGGAACCGCAAUCGGCUGUUGCACAUGUACCGGUUCCCGAAUCGUCGAAAUUACAGCCUGUUCGGCCCCAGAAACGGCCAGACCAGCCAGUCGGCGCUUGGAAUGAACGAGAAGUGUCUUUGGUUAGCUCGAAACCAGUGCUAUCCAGUUUUGGACUGCCCAGAAUUCCAGGCCACACAGUAUGGUCACACUUGUUCACAAAUGUAAACGUAGCCCCAAAUAUACCUUGACAGAAGGUGAGCAAAAGAAGGCUGAGAAUCAUCAAAGAAGUGGAAAUUGCCAUAGAGAUUUUCACAAUUGGUAAUUUGAACAAAAAUGUUGAUAAAUAAGCUUAAUCACAGUGGAGAAAGCAGAGGCAAUGGUUAUGGUGAUAAUGGAUUCUUGAUUGGUAGGGUAUAUAAGUAGGUAGUAAUCGGAAAAAGGUAGAGUAAUAAGAAAGAAAUGCAGAUGAAAUUAAACAAGAAACAUCGACCACCCAAGAAAUUAGACGAAAUUUGAAGGGGGGCUGGUGGCGCUCACUAUAUAAGAAUUGGGAAAUUAAGGAGGGUGUGUGAG
RNAcentral lists this unclassified non-coding RNA (1398 nucleotides) under Hevea brasiliensis (rubber tree). Lineage: Eukaryota; Viridiplantae; Streptophyta; Magnoliopsida; Malpighiales; Euphorbiaceae. The record is from RNAcentral.